This 409-nucleotide long non-coding RNA is filed under the name Elaeis guineensis (African oil palm). RNAcentral's name for it is "long non-coding RNA (EGUI_LNC050490)". The record is from RNAcentral. Lineage: Eukaryota; Viridiplantae; Streptophyta; Magnoliopsida; Arecales; Arecaceae.
UCCAUGAUUUUCACACACCCCAAAGGUAUCUUAAUGCUCUAUAAUUCAUAAAAAUUUCAAGAAGAAAUUCAUCUUAAAUCAAGAGACAUGAAGAAUCUUUAUCUAGGUCAAAUAUCUAGUCAAGGAAAAUCCAAACAGGGCAAGACAAGUGGUGCCCAACUCUUGGGUGCCCCCUCUUUCUUUUUAUACCAUGGACUACCAGAAAAGGGCACACAAUAUGUGCCAUAAAAUACACAAAAAGUCUAAAAAAAAUUUGGAUAAAAUCAGUGCCAUAAGGAAAGAGUUUUGGUUUCCUAAAAUUCUAUCUCAUAGAAUUUGAAAUUCAAACUAAUUUCUACUUUGACUUCGUCCACAACCACAUUCAAUGUAAGAGAGAAAGAGUGGAAAGCUUUGGGCAUGCAUGAAGGCC